UACGUAGGGGGCAAGCGUUGUCCGGAUUUAUUGGGCGUAAAGAGCGUGUAGGCGGCCAAGCAGGUCCGCUGUGAAAACUCGAGGCUCAACCUCGAGAGGUCGGUGGAAACCGUUUGGCUAGAGUCCGGAAGAGGGGAGUGGAAUUCCCGGUGUAGCGGUGAAAUGCGCAGAUAUCGGGAAGAACACCCGUGGCGAAGGCGGCUCUCUGGGACGGUACUGACGCUGAGACGCGAAAGCUAGGGGAGCAAACGGG
Molecule: ribosomal RNA, 253 nt
Filed under: uncultured bacterium
Lineage: Bacteria
Description: partial 16S ribosomal RNA
Rfam family: Bacterial small subunit ribosomal RNA
Source: RNAcentral